Populus euphratica (Euphrates poplar) is the source of this 1987-nucleotide RNA transcript. It is a transcript of the gene named 4-coumarate--CoA ligase 2-like, with no coding region annotated. The record is from RefSeq and is a predicted model, not a curated record. The transcript has 6 exons. NCBI's taxonomy places the organism in Eukaryota, Viridiplantae, Streptophyta, Magnoliopsida, Malpighiales, Salicaceae.
UAGAAGCAAAACCAAACACUUACCUUCUUUGCUUCCAAAAAAAAGAAAAAAGAAAAAAAAUCUCUCUUUCAUUUCUCUCUCUUUCCAAACAAUGGAGGCCAAUAAGGAUCAAGUACAAGAAUUCAUUUUCAGGUCCAAACUCCCUGAUAUCUAUAUCCCAAACCACCUCCCUUUACACACUUAUUGCUUCGAAAAGCUUUCCCAAUUCAAAGACAACCCUUGCUUGAUCAAUGGCCCUACCGGUGAUAUCUACACUUAUGCGGAUGUUGAGCUCACAUCACGCAAAGUUGCCUCUGGCCUCUACAAGUUAGGCCUCCAACAAGGCGAUGUUAUAUUGCUCUUGCUCCAAAACUCGCCAGAAUUUGUUUUUGCAUUUCUUGGCGCGUCAUUCAUUGGCGCUAUUAGCUCAACUGCAAACCCUUUUUAUACUUCAGCUGAGAUCGCAAAACAAGCAACAGCAUCAAAGGCAAAGCUGAUAAUAACACAAGCAGCUUACGCCGAGAAAGUGCAACAAUUUGCUCAAGAAAAUGAUCAUGUUAAGAUAAUGACCAUCGAUUCUCUUACAGAAAACUGCUUGCAUUUCUCAGAGUUGACAAGCUCUGAUGAGAAUGAAAUCCCUGCUGCCAAGAUUAAGCCUGAUGAUGUCGUGGCACUCCCUUAUUCGUCAGGGACUACAGGUCUCCCUAAAGGUGUCAUGUUGACUCAUAAAGGGCUUGUUACUAGUGUGGCACAACAAGUUGACGGAGAGAACCCUAAUCUCUAUUUUCACGAGAGGGAUGUGAUUCUUUGUGUGCUGCCUUUGUUCCACAUCUAUUCACUCAAUUCCGUAUUCCUUUGUGGGCUAAGAGCUGGUUCAGCAAUUUUGCUUAUGCAAAAAUUCGAGACGGUUACAUUAAUGGACCUUGUACAGAAAUAUAAGGUGACAAUUGCUCCACUCGUGCCCCCUAUCUUUCUGGCAAUUGCAAAAAGUCCAGUCGUUGAUCAGUAUGAUCUUUCUUCGAUCCGGACUGUAAUGUCUGGCGCAGCACCGAUGGGAAAGGAUCUUGAGGAUACAGUCAGGGCUAAGCUGCCUAAUGCUAAACUGGGACAGGGAUAUGGAAUGACAGAGGCAGGACCCGUGAUAGCAAUGUGCUUAGCCUUUGCAAAGGAACCCUUUGAGAUUAAAUCUGGCGCAUGUGGGACUGUUGUUAGAAAUGCAGAGAUGAAGAUUGUCGACCCGGAAACCGGUGACUCCCAGCCGCGAAAUAAAGCCGGCGAGAUUUGCAUUAGGGGCAGCCAAAUAAUGAAAGGUUAUCUAAAUGAUCCUGAGGCCACUGAAAGGACGAUAGACAAAGAUGGGUGGUUGCACACAGGUGAUAUUGGAUACAUUGACGAAGAUGAACUCUUUAUCGUGGAUCGUUUGAAAGAAUUGAUCAAAUACAAAGGUUUUCAAGUAGCACCUGCUGAGCUUGAAGCAAUGUUGAUUGCUCAUCCCAGCAUCUCUGAUGCUGCUGUCGUACCCAUGAAAGAUGAAGCUGCCGGAGAGGUUCCGGUUGCUUUUGUGGUGCGAUCAAAUGGUUCCAAGAUCACCGAGGACGAAAUCAAACAAUAUAUCUCAAAACAGGUGAUCUUUUAUAAGAGAAUUGGUCGGGUUUUCUUCACGGAGGCCAUCCCCAAAGCCCCAUCGGGAAAAAUCUUGAGAAAGGACCUCAGAGCAAGGGUUGCAGCUGGUGAUAUUCCACAUCAGAUUCCUAAUAUGACAUAUAUGCAAAACCAGCAUUAGUUUGAAGUUCAGAGGCAAAAUGGAUCUGAUGUGUUUUUCUUACCUUAGCGGCCUCCAAGAGGGUUUCAAAAGGUAGAGGAGAAUAUGUAAACUUGAAGAUUUAAUAGCCUUCAGUGUUCAGUUGUUGCUAUCGACUAAACCAUGAUGCUUGGUGAAUAGAAGAAUUAGCUUUGUAUUAAUUAAUGGAGGCUAGCGUUACAAAGUCAAACCACUCUUAUUAGCAAA